GCUACAAAUGUCUCUAAUGCUCAGUGUAGGCAUGAACGCAGUGCCUGGAGUUUGCUGUCCAAGUAAUCUUAACCCAAAUUGUAAUGUCAAAGCAAUUGUUGAACUAACUGUAACUUUAAUCCCAUAUCUAGCUUAAAUUAGAACCCUCAUGCUUCAAAAUAUCAUUGUUCUAUCCCUAGAACAAUUACUUACUGUAAUUUUCCUCUUAAUGAAUGUUUCAAGCCUGUUUAGGAAUAGACAGACGCUGUCGUAAUGGUUACAGCCCCACCCUCUCCUAAUGCCGACUGCACUGGCAACUCGGAAUGCAACUCUGAAGAUGCACUGAGACCCUGCAUAUCCAGACCCUACUCAGACACCGUAGUGCUGCUGCCCCCUCCCCUGUCUCUCCCGUUUCUCUGGCACCGUUUCCAAUCUAGGUCUGCCGUUGCAGGACUUGACAGCUGAAAGAAGGUAAGCCCUCGGACCGCUGCACGCUGGGACCAGCACGGAGCGGCUCUGGGACGGGUGCGGUCGAGCCCGUGGAUCGUGCCCACAGCUGCACUCGCCCCAGGCACUUUGCUGCGGUGCUGCUGGUGGCAGCGGGGAACUGCGGUGCUCCUGUUUGGUGCCGGAACUGCAUGGAGAUCCAUGUGGCUCCUCAUGAAGUCAGCAAGACAUGGAAAUCUGGAUUUCCUGGAAUGCCUCGGAACCCUCCUUGUCUGUCUGGUAAUUGGUCGCCCAUAGAGCUCUGCAGCUGUGGGACUCAACGGCUCAAAGAAGGCCGGCCCUCGGACCACUGCACUCCGGGACCGGCAUGGGAUGGCUGUGAUGGGUCCAGUAGAGAACAUGGAUUGUACCGAUGGGUGCACUCACCCCAGGUGUCUUGCUGCGGUGCUACUGGUAAGAGCGAUGUGCA
This 895-nucleotide long non-coding RNA is filed under the name Numida meleagris (helmeted guineafowl). RNAcentral's name for it is "lncRNA (ENSNMEG00000002628.1)". Lineage: Eukaryota; Metazoa; Chordata; Aves; Galliformes; Numididae. The record is from RNAcentral.